RNAcentral lists this ribosomal RNA (576 nucleotides) under uncultured Planctomycetota bacterium. RNAcentral's name for it is "bacterial SSU rRNA". It matches the Rfam family "Bacterial small subunit ribosomal RNA", at positions 348 to 920 of the family's 1533-position model. Lineage: Bacteria; Pseudomonadati; Planctomycetota. The record is from RNAcentral.
AUUGCAGUAGGGAAUCUUCGGCAAUGGGCGAAAGCCUGACCGAGCGACGCCGCGUGAGGGAUUGAAGGCCUUCGGGUUGUAAACCUCUUUCGUAGAGGAGGAAGGGGCUGUGAAGAACAGUCCUUGACCUAUUCUAGGAAGAAGCUUGGGCUAAGUUCGUGCCAGCAGCCGCGGUAAGACGAACCAAGCGAACGUUAUUCGGAAUUACUGGGCUUAAAGCGCGUGUAGGCGGACUACCACGUUGGUUGUUGAAAUCCCCCGGCUUAACCGGGGAACUGGCACCAAUACGGGUAGUCUGGAGGUGGGUAGGGGAGACUGGAACUUCCGGUGGAGCGGUGAAAUGCGUUGAGAUCGGAAGGAACGCCCGCGGCGAAAGCGAGUCUCUGGACCCAUACUGACGCUGAGACGCGAAAGCCAGGGGAGCAAACGGGAUUAGAUACCCCGGUAGUCCUGGCUGUAAACAUUGGGCACUGGGUAGUGGAACCGCCGAUGGUUUCACUGCCGCAGGGAAACCGUGAAGUGCCCCGCCUGGGGAGUAUGGUCGCAAGGCUGAAACUCAAAGGAAUUGACGGAAUC